UCAUAUAACAAUUCAUAAUUUAAUAAGUCCAAAUAAAUAUUAUAAUUAUAAUUUUAAAUUAAUUUAUUUUGUACCUAUUGAUAUGGGGGAAAUCAACCUAUAUACAUUGAUAUGAUCAACAUCGAUUAAAUUUUGCACAGGAAUAAAACUAAAAAUUUAUUGUUCCAAUUCACUACUGAAAGGGGUAAGAUAAUGAAAUUGAGUACCUUUAUCCAAGCACAUUAUCAAUCGAGCUAGAGACGUGGGUUUAGGGUUUCAAAUUGAAGUUGGUACUCAAACACAUCAUGGCGUAUUUGCCCACCCAAAAAUAGCCAUGAUUAGAUGACUUGCUUGAUUAGCCCAAUAGAGCUCAAGCAUUACCUUUUCAAGCAAACCCAUAAAGUGAACUUUUUCGUCAACAAGAAC
Molecule: long non-coding RNA, 405 nt
Filed under: Gossypium barbadense (sea-island cotton)
Lineage: Eukaryota; Viridiplantae; Streptophyta; Magnoliopsida; Malvales; Malvaceae
Description: long non-coding RNA (GBAR_LNC017913)
Source: RNAcentral